Molecule: long non-coding RNA, 1438 nt
Organism: Lynx canadensis (Canada lynx)
Lineage: Eukaryota; Metazoa; Chordata; Mammalia; Carnivora; Felidae
Exons: 2
Source: RefSeq, a predicted model, not a curated record
AGGGGCAGCAGUGACAUCUGAGACUGAAGUGAUAUGGGCAGAGGCUCUGCCCAUAGGAACUUCUGCCCAAAGGGCAGAACUAAUUGCAUUGACCCAAGCAUUAAGAAUGGGGCGGGACCGCAAAGUGACUGUAUAUACAGACAGCCGGUAUGCCUUUGCCACGGCCCAUAUACAUGGGGCAAUAUACCGUGAGAGGGGACUACUCACUGCUAAAGGCAAAGACAUCAGAAAUAAAGAUAAAAUUCUGGCCCUAUUGGCCGCUAUUUGGGCCCCUAAAAAACUGACUAACCUCGCUGACCAGACUGCAUGCCAGGUAGCACAAAACCCCAUUCAAGUACUCCCUGCGCAGCUACCAGACCCAGGGCCCCGAGAUUUACCCCCAUAGCCUGAAUACUCAGAAGAUGAUCUUAUCUGGAUGCGCGAGUUCCCCAUGACCCAAGUUACAGACGGAUGGUGGAGGGACUCCAGAGACCGCCUUAUCCUUCCCGAAAAAUUGGGCCACGCAAUCCUGACAAAAAUACUCCAGAACGCGCACCCACACGCCACAGCCCAAGGCCACUGAAAAAGAGGAACCAUACCAGGAGCCCACUGGGAAGUGGACUUCACCGAGGGCUCUACAGCGGGUUCAUGAGGCCGUGUGGCCUAAACUAAAAGAACUGUAUGAGACGGGGCCCCCACCCACUCCUCAUCAGUAUCGUCCAGGAGACUGGGUCCUCGUCAAGUGACACCGGCAGGAGAACCUUGAACCCAGGUGAAAAGGACCUUACCAAAUCAUCCUGACGACUCCCACCGCCAUCAAGGUAGAUAACCUCCCCACCUGGAUUCACCACACCCACGUGAAGCCUGUCGACCCGCUAUCUGACCUCGUGGGACACACUGAUAAAAAUACUACUUGGACUGUAGACCGGAGUAAGAAAAACCCCCUCAAACUAACCUUGCGCCGUGCCUCCCCUAGACAUGUUCAAGAUAGUAACCCUUGUCCUACUAGCCCUCAACCUCAACCUCCUGGAGGUAGGACUAAAUGCCCCCGUUGACAAACAGAAAUUGUACGGAGCUCUGUAUGGAAGGCCCUGUGAUUGCAGAGGUGGUGUAGUUAGAACCCUUACCCUGCCACAUGGUAACAGACUAGUAGCCGGCUCUGUAGGAAGGGGUGGUCACUAUCAGCGAAGAUACACUCAAACCCAAGACUGUGGGACCACAAUUGCUCACUUAACCCAGACCUAUGACAUCACAGGACCCCAAAAACAGCAGUGGUUAUGUGUUGACAAACGUAAGCCCCUGCCCCCCACAGCAGAAUGCCCUUGCUCUACUUUCCAGGAGUCGAUGCAUAGCUCUUGUUAUGACUCCUAUCAGCAAUGUAUAGGGCCAGACAACUCCACUACCUACUUUACAGCUAUCCUACAGAGUAACAGGGCAGCAAAAGCUAGUGAUAAUAAUA